This 253-nucleotide ribosomal RNA is filed under the name uncultured bacterium. RNAcentral's name for it is "partial 16S ribosomal RNA". It matches the Rfam family "Bacterial small subunit ribosomal RNA", at positions 524 to 776 of the family's 1533-position model. The record is from RNAcentral.
UACGUAGGGGGCAAGCGUUGUCCGGAAUCAUUGGGCGUAGAGAGCGUGUAGGCGGCCCGAUAAGUCCGCUGUGAAAGUCCAGGGCUCAACCCUGGGAUGCCGGUGGAUACUGUCGGGCUCGAGUCCGGAAGAGGAGUGUGGAAUUCCUGGUGUAGCGGUGAAAUGCGCAGAUAUCAGGAGGAACACCAAUGGCGAAGGCAGCACUCUGGGACGUGACUGACGCUGAGACGCGAAAGCGUGGGGAGCAAACAGG